GUAGGUGGCAAGCGUUGUCCGGGAAUUAUUGGGGCGUAAAGCGCGCGCAGGCGGUUCUUUAAGUCUGAUGUGAAAGCCCACGGGCUCAACCGUGGGAGGGUCAUUGGAAACUGGAGAACUUGAGUGCAGAAGAGGAAAGCGGAAUUCCACGUGUAGCGGUGAAAUGCGUAGAGAUGUGGAGGAACACCAGUGGCGAAGGCGGCUUUCUGGUCUGUAGCUGACGCUGAGGCGCGAAAGCGUGGGGAGCAAACAGGAUAGAUACCCUGGUAGUCCACGCCGUAAACGAUGAGUGCUAAGUGUUAGGGGGUUUCCGCCCCUUAGUGCUGCAGCUUACGCAUUAAGCACUCCGCCUGGGGAGUACGGCCGCAAAGGCUG
This 375-nucleotide ribosomal RNA is filed under the name uncultured organism. Its description in RNAcentral is "partial 16S ribosomal RNA". It matches the Rfam family "Bacterial small subunit ribosomal RNA", at positions 527 to 896 of the family's 1533-position model. The record is from RNAcentral.